GCAGUGGUGGCUCAGUGGUAGAAUUCUCACCUUCCACUCAGGAGACCUGGGUACAAGUCCCAGCCAAUGCC
This is a transfer RNA of Loxodonta africana (African savanna elephant), 71 nucleotides long. It matches the Rfam family "tRNA". Rfam says of the family: Transfer RNA (tRNA) molecules are approximately 80 nucleotides in length. Their secondary structure includes four short double-helical elements and three loops (D, anti-codon, and T loops). Lineage: Eukaryota; Metazoa; Chordata; Mammalia; Proboscidea; Elephantidae. The record is from Rfam.